RNAcentral lists this ribosomal RNA (448 nucleotides) under uncultured bacterium. RNAcentral's name for it is "bacterial SSU rRNA". It matches the Rfam family "Bacterial small subunit ribosomal RNA", at positions 30 to 526 of the family's 1533-position model. The record is from RNAcentral.
CGAACGCUGGCGGCAGGCCUAACACAUGCAAGUCGAACGCCCAGCAAUAGGAGUGGCAGACGGGUGAGUAACACGUGGGAACGUACCCUUCGGUUCGGAAUAACUCAGGGAAACUUGAGCUAAUACCGGAUACGUCCGAGAGGAGAAAGAUUUAUCGCCGAAGGAUCGGCCCGCGUCUGAUUAGCUUGUUGGUGAGGUAACGGCUCACCAAGGCGACGAUCAGUAGCUGGUCUGAGAGGAUGAUCAGCCACAUUGGGACUGAGACACGGCCCAAACUCCUACGGGAGGCAGCAGUGGGGAAUAUUGGACAAUGGGCGCAAGCCUGAUCCAGCCAUGCCGCGUGAGUGAUGAAGGCCUUAGGGUUGUAAAGCUCUUUUACCUGGGAAGAUAAUGACGGUACCAGGAGAAUAAGCCCCGGCUAACUUCGUGCCAGCAGCCGCGGUAAUCU